AUGAAGCAAAAGAUUGUGGUGAAGGUCGAGCUCAAGGACAACAAACAGAAGUCGAAAGCGUUGACAGCAGUCGCCGUUCUCCCUGGCGUCGAGUCGAUUUCUUUGGAAAUUGAUGGGAAUAUCAUGGUCAUUGGGGACGGCGUUGACCCCGUCCACGCCGUGGGAAAGCUGCGAAGGUUGUUUGGGCAUGCUUUUCUCGUCUCCGUCGAGGAGAUCAUCAAGAAGAAAGACGACAGCGGCCAGGAGGAGGACGAAAGCGGUGCGACUCCUCCGUGCGAGUUUACAUUCGGGCUCUUGAACCGUAUCACAAAUAGUUUCUCAGGGGAGCGCAUAAUUGGUCGUGGUCGGCGUGGAGUAGUUUACAAGGGGGUACAGGACAAUGGGGAAUAUAUUGCUGUGAAGAAGCUUAAUCUCAUGCCAGGGCUUGACGACGAGGAAUUCAAAAAUGAGUUUAAUAAUCUUAUGAGGGUCCAACAUCAAAAUACCAUACGGUUAGUUGGUUACAGCCAUCAUACAACGCAAGUGCUUGCUGACCACAAUGGAAAAUAUGUUUCUGCUAGAGUGAAAGAAAGAUCUCUAUGUUCCGAAUACUUGGAGGGAGGAAGCCUUGACAAGCAUCUUUCUAAUGAACCAUGUGCUCUUGUCUGGCACACAUGUUACGAAAUAAUUAAGGGACUGUGUGAGGGCUUACAUUACCUUCACAAAGGAUUCGAAUAUCCUAUUUACCAUCUGGAACUGAAACCUACAAAAGUUUUGCUGGAUAAGGACAUGAUGCCCAAAAUUGGAGGUUUUGGUUUCUCUAGGCUCUUUGAUUCAAUAGAAGCCUCCAACACGCCAGAAGUUACAGCAACAAGAGUAUACAUGCCGCCAGAAUACAUCAGUAAACGGCUAAUCACACCAAAGUUUGAUGUAUUCAGUCUGGGCAUUAUAAUCUUGCAAAUCAUGGCAGGAAAGGAGAGCUACACCAAGUGUAUAGAUACUUCCCCCGAAGUAUUUAUUGAGAGUGUAUAUGAAUUCUGGGUAAACAGGAUGCAGGGCACAAUAUCAAAGCAUACUUCGCGUGAAGUUAGAACAUGCAUCGAAAUAGCUCUAAAAUGUGUGGAGUUCAGUCGAGAAAAGAGGCCUACUAUAAAGGAGAUCAUACAGAAACUGAAUAAGAUUGAUAUUGUUGAGUGCUCAUCUAUACAUCAGCUAUAUAGAGCAAAAGAGUUUUCAUUUGAGUUCUUAGAAAAUAUUACUGAUAAAUUUUCUAAGCAAAACAUAGUUGGCCGUGGUGGAUAUGGAAUUAUUUACAAGGGGGUGCUGAAGGAUGGAGAAGAGGUUGCUGUUAAGAAACUUCAUCAAAUGUUGUGGAUUGAUGAUGAACAAUUCAAAAACGAGCUUAAUAAUCUAAUGAGGGUCCAACACAAAAAUAUCGUACGGUUAGUUGGCUACUGCCACCAUGCAUCACAUAUAUUUGUUGAGUACGAGGGAAAACAUGUUUCUGCUAGCGUGGUAGAAAGAGCAAUUUGUUUGGAAUAUGUGCAGGGUGGAAACCUUGACAAUCAACUUUCUGCUGAAUCUUGCAGACUUGAUUGGGACAAAUGUUACAAAAUAAUAAAAGGAAUAUGUGAGGGUUUACAUUACCUUCAUAAUGCUGAUACUCCCAUUUACCAUCUGGACUUGAAGCCAGAAAAUAUUUUGUUAGAUAAGGAUAUGGUAGCAAAAAUUGGUGAUUUCGGUUUGUCAAGACUUUUUGAUUCACCACAAACCUAUAUGACACAAUCCCAAGAUAUUAAAGGAACACGUGGAUACAUGCCACCAGAAUACAUCAACCGACAGGCAAUCAGUCCCAAGUUUGACGUAUUUAGUCUCGGGGUCAUAAUCAUACAAAUAAUGGCAGGAAAGGAGGGCUACUUCAGUUGUCCAUACACCCCUCCGAAAGAAUUUAUUACAACUGUACGUGAAAACUGGCGAACAAAGGUGGAGGCAACAGUGUCGCCCCAUGCAUCUGAACAAGUGAGGACAUGCAUCGAAAUAGCGUUGAAAUGUGUGGAGGAUGACCGAACGCGAAGGCCUACAAUAGCCCACAUUGUUAAUGAACUAAGUAACAUUGGUGUUGCUAAAGGAUCACCCAUUCGCCAGUGGGCGGACAAGCUGACUGCGUUAAAGACCUUGUUAUUAUCCACUCACUUCAAACAUUGGCUGUUCCUCUUUGUCGCAGCGAUUUCCAUGUUUUUCGCAUGGGCUAAAUUCUGUCCAGAUUCAUGGUGGCAAGGCAUUACAAGGAGAACGUAA
RNAcentral lists this ribosomal RNA (2277 nucleotides) under Triticum aestivum (bread wheat). Its description in RNAcentral is "partial small subunit ribosomal RNA". Lineage: Eukaryota; Viridiplantae; Streptophyta; Magnoliopsida; Poales; Poaceae. The record is from RNAcentral.